AUGGCGGCUGAUCCGCCAUCCUCCUCGUGGCAUGCUUUGCUGUGCCUCGCGCUCUUCUCGGCCGUCGUCGCGUCGUCGUCCGCGAUGGACUGCGACGGCGACGACCGCGCCGCGCUGCUGAGGGUGAAGGCGCAGCUGGGCGACCCCGUGCAGCUCUCGUCCUGGCUCCCGGCCACCAACUGCUGCGCCUGGGAGCCGCCCGCCGUCUUCUGCUCCGCGGCCGGCCGAGUCACGGGGCUGGCGCUCUCCUCCCUCGACGGCGUCCGCGCGCCCGUCCCGCCGGCGCUCGGCGAGCUCCCGGAGCUCGUCAUCCUCCAGGUCCAGUCCGUCCGCGGCCUGUCCGGCCCCAUCCCGUCCUCCUUCGGCAACCUCACGCGCCUCGAGGACCUCAACAUCGCCGGCACCUCCAUCUCCGGCCCGGUGCCGGACUUCCUCGCCGGGCUAACAAGCCUCCGCACCCUCGUCAUCGCCGACGGCAAGCUCGCCGGCCCCAUGCCCGGGUGCCUGGGCAGCCUCCCCGGCCUCAGGUACCUGGACCUCAGCGGCAACAUGCUCACCGGCGCCAUCCCGCCGGGGCUGCUGCACGGGAGCUUCAGGUUCCUGAUCCUGGCCAACAACCAGCUCACCGGCGAGAUACCGAGCGACUGCGGCGACGACGACGUCGACACCCUCGACCUCUCCCGCAACCGGCUGACGGGCGACCCGUCGCCGUUCCUGUUCGGCAUCGCGAAGCCGCUGGCCAAGGUCGACCUGUCGUGGAACGAGCUCGAGUUCGACAUGAGCGACGUCAGCUUCCCGCACCACCUCACGUUCCUGGACCUCAGCCAUAACCGGAUCAACGGAAGCGUGGCCAAGUCGCUGAUGGACGUGAAGCUGGAGCACUUGGACGUCAGCUACAACGGCCUCUGCGGCGAGAUCCCGGCGGGGAGGUUCAUGUCGGCGCACGGGGCGUAG
Molecule: ribosomal RNA, 954 nt
Filed under: Triticum aestivum (bread wheat)
Lineage: Eukaryota; Viridiplantae; Streptophyta; Magnoliopsida; Poales; Poaceae
Description: partial small subunit ribosomal RNA
Source: RNAcentral